Molecule: ribosomal RNA, 931 nt
Filed under: uncultured Actinomycetes bacterium
Lineage: Bacteria; Bacillati; Actinomycetota; Actinomycetes
Description: bacterial SSU rRNA
Rfam family: Bacterial small subunit ribosomal RNA
Source: RNAcentral
CAUGCAGUCGAGCGAUGAGAUCCCUUCGGGGAUGGAUUAGCGGCGAACGGGUGAGGAAACGUGAAGAUCUGCCUUCAACUCUGGGAUAACACCGGGAACCGGUGCUAAUACCGGAUAUGAGCCUUGAUCGCAUGAUCGGGGCUGGAAAGUUUUUCGGUUGAAGAUGACUUCGCGGCCUAUCAGCUAGUUGGUGAGGUAAUGGCUCACCAAGGCGACGACGGGUAGCCGGCCUGAGAGGGCGACCGGCCACACUGGGACUGAGACACGGCCCAGACUCCUACGGGAGGCAGCAGUGGGGAAUAUUGGGCAAUGGACGAAAGUCUGACCCAGCGACGCCGCGUGAGGGAUGAAGGCCUUCGGGUUGUAAACCUCUUUCAGCAGGGAAGAAGCGAAAGUGACGGUACCUGCAGAAGAAGCACCGGCUAACUAUGUGCCAGCAGCCGCGGUAAUACAUAGGGUGCAAGCGUUGUCCGGAAUUAUUGGGCGUAAAGAGCUCGUAGGUGGUUAGUUACGUCGGAUGUGAAAAUCUAGGGCUCAACCCUAGACCUGCAUCCGAUACGGGCUAGCUUGAGUUUGGUAGGGGAGACUGGAAUUCCUGGUGUAGCGGUGGAAUGCGCAGAUAUCAGGAGGAACACCAAUGGCGAAGGCAGGUCUCUGGGCCAAUACUGGCACUGAGGAGCGAAAGUGUGGGGAGCGAACAGGAUUAGAUACCCUGGUAGUCCACACAGUAAACGAUGGGCACUAGUUGUGGGAACCUUCCACGGUUUCUGCGACGCAGCUAACGCAUUAAGUGCCCCGCCUGGGGAGUACGAUCGCAAGAUUAAAACUCAAAGGAAUUGACGGGGCCCCGCACAAGCGGCGGAGCAUGCGGCUUAAUUCGACGCAACGCGAAGAACCUUACCAAGGCUUGACAUAUGCAGGAAUAUGGCAG